AGCUCCAAUAGCGUAUAUUAAAGUUGUUGCGGUUAAAAAGCUCGUAGUUGGAUCUCGGUUUCGGGCGGAUGGUUCAGAUUUCGUCUGUUACUGUCUGCCCGGACGAUUUUGGUGGUUCGUUCGUGGUUCUCUUAACCGAGUGCCACGGGUGGCCAUCACGUUUACUUUGAAAAAAUUGGAGUGCUCAAAGCAGGCGCUACAGCCUGAACAAGAGUGCAUGGAAUAAUGGAAUAGGAUCUCGGUUCUAUUUCGUUGGUUUUCGGAAUCGAGGUGAUGGUUAAUAGGAACAGACGGGGGCAUUCGUACUGCGACGUUAGAGGUGAAAUUCUUGGAUCGUCGCAAGACGAACUACUGCGAAAGCAUUUGCCAAGAAUGUUUUCA
RNAcentral lists this ribosomal RNA (381 nucleotides) under uncultured eukaryote. RNAcentral's name for it is "SSU rRNA". It matches the Rfam family "Eukaryotic small subunit ribosomal RNA", at positions 587 to 972 of the family's 1831-position model. The record is from RNAcentral.